This 2953-nucleotide long non-coding RNA is filed under the name Gallus gallus (chicken). Lineage: Eukaryota; Metazoa; Chordata; Aves; Galliformes; Phasianidae. The record is from RNAcentral.
AUGGAACGGCGCCUGCCGGGCCCGCCCCCACCGCUCGGGCCGGGAACGCCGCAGGGGGGCGCUGCAGCCGCAGAGGGCAGUGGCCGUUGCGACGGGAGGGGCGAUGGGCGCGGCUGAGCGCCGCCUCGGUGGGGCGCGGGGCUGAGGCGAGCGAGGUGGUGGACGGUUCUCUCGGCCCGGCGGCUCUCACUGGAAGACUUAAGGAUUUCAAGGAACAGGAAAAUCUUCACACUAUAUUGUCACUACAAGACUAAAAACGUACUAAGCAAUCAAGUGUUAAGUAAAAUCCUGAAGGCCAAAAGAUGCAAGCCAUGAAACUUUAGCACACCGUUAUUCAACAAAGCGCUCGAGUUUUUCAUUGAGACUUGUGUGUGGACUUAACUGUUAGAGCUUACAACGCCUUGCAGGUAGCAGCAAAAGCUUAAAAUAAUGUUUUGCCCCACCGCCUAGCAGUGAGAUAGAAAGCACUGCUAUGCAACGCAAUGGUGGGAGAGUUUGGAAAUUGUUCCAGUGAGGAUGUCAGAGAAGUUGUUGAGAAAGAAUGGCUGAUGAAGAGCUGCCAAGCUGGAAUAUGAAAUAGCUUUUUAUAUUCCUUAGAAAGGUAACUGCUGCCUAACGCAUUGACCUUGGGCUGGAUUCCAGGUGUGAAAGGGUUUUGCUACGUCUUCUUCUCAACAUAAAGAGAAGUGACAGACGCAGAGGUAGCCAGGGAGCUGAGCAUGCACACAAGGGCAGUAGCUAUGACCUUGCCAUCUUUUGUGAAGAGGAGAAGCCCUCAGCUAUGCAGGAAAGGCUGCUGGUCUUUGGUACUUAAUACACGGGUUAGAUGGAGCCCAGUGAUACCCCCAAAGCUGCUUUUCUUCCACUCUCAGGCAUUUGAGUUGGCAAGCUCAGCCUUUUUUACUUGUUGCAUUAAAAAUAAGCAAUCAAACUAUCUUAUCAACUUUUCCCUGUGAUCUUAUUCCUCGUGGUCUCCACUGAAUCAGACAUCAAUAAGGUGAGUUUUGCUCAGACUAAAAAGAGAUUUGUCUGCAAGCGCAGUUUAUGAUAAUUAGGGGAAAAACAAGUUGGACAGGAUGCUGAAGAGAAAAUUGAGGCCUGGUAAUACGUGCAAACAGGGAGAGCUGUUGUUGUUUUUCAUCUUAGUGUUUUGUUUUUCAGCAGCAGAAGCUGUUGCGUUUCGCUUCCUCCAAGCAGGAGCUAAUAAUGAGCUACCAAUAACGAUCUACCGUGUGGACUAAUAAGGAGGCUGUCUUGCUAUUUUGUCAAAGCAUUUUUUUUUUCCUGAAAAAAGACCCUUGCAUAUAAUGAAGUGCUGUAAGUGGAAUGCUGCUUGGUGUCUGGGGUGCUUGGUUGCUCUUCCUUUUUCUAAGACAGGUAGAAAAGUAUGCUGGAAUUGUAAAAAUGAGUGGUCAUUUUACAGUAGAAGCGAAAAACCUGACAUCGAUGUGCAAGCAAGAUACACUAAGUUAUACACUAAGUCUGGAAUGCUUUUCCCUUGAGUCCUCUCUAUCCUGGGAGAAGUGCUAUAUCAAGGCAAUCUCCAUUCACGCUUGUACUGCUGGACCAUCACAAAGCAGCUGAAGCAAACUGGCAAAACUCCCUUCAGAGGUUGUCGACCACAUGGCUGCACAGGACCCUGCAAUGCUGUGCUUAAAAAAGCAAUCAAAUUCAAGUCAGCUUGCUUGUUGUGGGUAUUUUCUGGGAACUGUUUAUUACCAUGCCACAUCUGCUGACCAAUUUUUGCAUAAUAAACCUCUGAAAAUUAAACUCAGCUUCACUGGUGUAUAAGAAUUAGACGUGGCAGACAUAGCUCUAUUCAACCGCUUCUGAGGAUUAGCUUCAAAAAUCAAAUUAAAAUGAAGCAAGCCCAAAUAGACCAGGUAAUCCCACACUGAGUUGCCACACCCAUUCAUAUUCACCAUCCAUCAUCUGUGCCUCUUGCAUUUUAUAUUACUAAUAUGAGGCAUCUCUGCAAGUAGUAUUACAGUGCACCUACUCCAUACAGUAAGGGUGAGAAACUCAUUAUAUAUAUGGCACAUUAAUACAUUAAGGUUGCAAGGCCUUAGUGACACAAGUAUUCCUACUUAAGUAAAAAUUCUACUUCUUUAUUCACUUCCAAAGCUGAGGGGAAACUACAUGAUUUUUACCUUAGAGUUUGAGGUAAAGAAGGUGAAGGUGAGACAUACAACGCUCUCCAAGCAGCACUGUGUGCUGUGACUUGCAGAAAUGGCCAUAGGACUGUGUUUCAUACCUUAACAGUCAUUAUUUUUAGUUAUUUUUCUCAACUGUGUGUAAAGGUAAAUAUUUAAAUUUAUAUUUAUAUAUAUAUAUAAAAACAACAUUGAGCACAAUAAAGUAUUUCUCUAAAGAAGUAUUCUAAAGCAAUAAAUGCAGACCUAUUUCUGAGCAUUUACACUAACGGCUGUAAAGAAAGACAAUACAAAACACUGAUGGAAUUUAACACACAACUGCUGAAAUGCAGGAAACACAACUUGAUUUACCAAAUUAACAACACCCACUGCAUUAAAUGAGCAGGGAAAAGUACACACUGUCAACAGGAUGUCUGUGCAGUUCUUUAUUUCUCUUUUAUACAGCAAAGUGCCAAACGCAAGCCAAAUAUCUUUAUUAUAUAUGGAGUCACACUGGAGGUCAUUAGCCUCAAAUUAGAAACGUACAACUGAAAUAUUGCUAAAUACCUCUCCCGAGACGAGAAAGAGUAAAGGAAAAGGAACUGUGUAAGCAAUUUAAAAGGCAGCUUCUGUGACAGAAAUACAGCUGUAGUGGUGCUUUGGAAGGGCGUACCAACGCUGCCUAACCCACACUGGGCGAAGAACAGCGAGGUGUUUUGCAGUGCUAUUCCCGAUUAAGACGAUAAGAACAUGAACAGAACAGUUCGGGGCUGCACUUCCUGAGUAUGCAGAUAGUACCACGAAACAAGCAAAGUGAAGGA